GACGAACGCUGGCGGCGUGCUUAACACAUGCAAGUCGAACGGAAAGGCCCUGCUUUUGUGGGGUUCUCGAGUGGCGAACGGGUGCGUAACACGUGAGUAACCUGCCCUUGACUUUGGGAUAACUUCAGGAAACUGGGGCUAAUACCGGAUAGGAGCUCCUGCUGCAUGGUGGGGGUUGGAAAGUUUCGGCGGUUGGGGAUGGACUCGCGGCUUAUCAGCUUGUUGGUGGGGUAGUGGCUUACCAAGGCUUUGACGGGUAGCCGGCCUGAGAGGGUGACCGGCCACAUUGGGACUGAGAGACGGCCCAGACGCCUACGGGAGGCAGCAGUGGGGAAUAUUGCACAAUGGGCGGAAGCCUGAUGCAGCAACGCCGCGUGCGUGAUGACGGCCUUCGGGUUGAAAACCGCUUUCGCCUGUGACGAAGCGUGAGUGACGGUAAUGGGUAAAGAAGCACCGGCUAACUACGUG
This 468-nucleotide ribosomal RNA is filed under the name uncultured bacterium. RNAcentral's name for it is "partial 16S ribosomal RNA". It matches the Rfam family "Bacterial small subunit ribosomal RNA", at positions 28 to 507 of the family's 1533-position model. The record is from RNAcentral.